CCUACGGGAGGCUGCAGUGGGGAAUAUUGCACAAUGGGGGAAACCCUGAUGCAGCGACGCCGCGUGAGUGAAGAAGUAUUUCGGUAUGUAAAGCUCUAUCAGCAGGGAAGAAGAAAGACGGUACCUGACUCAGAAGCCCCGGCUAACUACGUGCCAGCAGCCGCGGUAAUACGUAGGGGGCAAGCGUUAUCCGGAUUUAGUGGGGGUAAAGGGAGCGUAGACGGCUGUGCAAGUCUGAAGUGAAAGCCCAGGGCUCAACCCUGGGACUGCUUUGGAAACUGGGGAGCUAGAGUGAUGGAGAGGUAAGUGGAAUUCCUAGUGUAGCGGUGAAAUGCGUAGAUAUUAGGAGGAACACCAGUGGCGAAGGCGGCUUACUGGACAGUAACUGACGUUGAGGCUCGAAAGCGUGGGGAGCAAACAGGAUUAGAUACCCUUGUAGUC
Molecule: ribosomal RNA, 441 nt
Filed under: uncultured bacterium
Lineage: Bacteria
Description: partial 16S ribosomal RNA
Rfam family: Bacterial small subunit ribosomal RNA
Source: RNAcentral